AACGCGAAGAACCUUACCUGGGUUGAACUACGCAGGAAAAGCCGUAGAGAUACGGUGUCCGAAAGGGCCUGUGAUAGGUGGUGCAUGGCUGUCGUCAGCUCGUGUCGUGAGAUGUUGGGUUAAGUCCCGCAACGAGCGCAACCCUUGUCCUAUGUUGCCAGCGGGUAAUGCCGGGGACUCGUAGGAGACUGCCGGGGUCAACUCGGAGGAAGGUGGGGACGAAGUCAAGUCAUCAUGCCCCUUACGUCCAGGGCUGCACACAUGCUACAAUGGCCGGUACAAAGGGCUGCUAUUCCGCGAGGAUGAGCGAAUCCCAAAAAGCCGGUCUCAGUUCGGAUCGUAGUCUGCAACUCGACUACGUGAAGUCGGAGUCGCUAGUAAUCCCGGAUCAGCAACGCCGGGGUGAAUACGUUCCCGGGCCUUGUA
RNAcentral lists this ribosomal RNA (426 nucleotides) under uncultured Actinomycetes bacterium. Its description in RNAcentral is "bacterial SSU rRNA". It matches the Rfam family "Bacterial small subunit ribosomal RNA", at positions 958 to 1385 of the family's 1533-position model. Lineage: Bacteria; Bacillati; Actinomycetota; Actinomycetes. The record is from RNAcentral.